UGAGGAAUAUUUGUCAAUGGGCGAGAGCCUGAACCAGCCAAGUAGCGUGCAGGAUGACGGCCCUAUUGGUUGUAAACUGCUUUUAUGUGGGGAUAAAGUGCGUGACGUGUCAUGCAUUGCAGGUACCACAUGAAUAAGGACCGGCUAAUUCCGUGCCAGCAGCCGCGGUAAUACGGAAGGUCCGGGCGUUAUCCGGAUUUAUUGGGUUUAAAGGGAGCGUAGGCUGUCUAUUAAGCGUGUUGUGAAAUUUACCGGCUCAACCGGUGGCUUGCAGCGCGAACUGGUCGACUUGAGUAUGCAGGAAGUAGGCGGAAUUCAUGGUGUAGCGGUGAAAUGCUUAGAUAUCAUGACGAACUCCGAUUGCGCAGGCAGCUUACUGUAGCAUAACUGACGCUGAUGCUCGAAAGUGCGGGUAUCAAACAGG
RNAcentral lists this ribosomal RNA (424 nucleotides) under Verrucomicrobiota bacterium. RNAcentral describes it as "Verrucomicrobia bacterium partial 16S ribosomal RNA". It matches the Rfam family "Bacterial small subunit ribosomal RNA", at positions 355 to 776 of the family's 1533-position model. Lineage: Bacteria; Pseudomonadati; Verrucomicrobiota. The record is from RNAcentral.